AACGAACGCUGGCGGCGCGCCUAAUACAUGCAAGUCGAGCGAGAAGACGUAGCAAUACGUUUGUAAAGCGGCGAACGGGUGAGGAAUACAUGGGUAACCUACCCUCGAGUGGGGAAUAACUAGCCGAAAGGUUAGCUAAUACCGCGUACGCUCCUUGGACUUCGGUUCAGGGAGGAAAGCGAUACCGUGGGUAUCGCGCUCUUGGAUGGGCUCAUGUCCUAUCAGCUUGUUGGUGAGGUAACGGCUCACCAAGGCUUCGACGGGUAGCUGGUCUGAGAGGACGAUCAGCCACACUGGCACUGCGACACGGGCCAGACUCCUACGGGAGGCAGCAGUGAGGAAUAUUGCGCAAUGGGCGAAAGCCUGACGCAGCGACGCCGCGUGGGGGAUGAAGGUCUUCGGAUUGUAAACCCCUUUCGGGAGGGAAGAUGGGACGGGCGAACCGUUCGGACGGUACCUCCAGAAGCAGCCACGGCUAACUUCGUGCCAGCAGCCGCCGU
RNAcentral lists this ribosomal RNA (500 nucleotides) under uncultured bacterium. Its description in RNAcentral is "bacterial SSU rRNA". It matches the Rfam family "Bacterial small subunit ribosomal RNA", at positions 29 to 521 of the family's 1533-position model. The record is from RNAcentral.